UCCCUUUCGCAGGGCGCUCAUAUCGCCUAUAUAGGUCGUGCCGGGCAACCGGCUAUGGCGAUAAACGGUGCGUGGAAUAAGUGUUGUGGACCCGGGGGCAGUACCCGGCGCCUCCACCAA
This 120-nucleotide transfer-messenger RNA is filed under the name Acidiphilium sp. 21-62-4. RNAcentral's name for it is "partial transfer-messenger RNA". It matches the Rfam family "Alphaproteobacteria transfer-messenger RNA", at positions 1 to 120 of the family's 355-position model. Rfam says of the family: Bacterial tmRNA, also known as 10Sa RNA or SsrA, is named for its dual tRNA and mRNA-like properties. Its role is to liberate the mRNA from a stalled ribosome. The record is from RNAcentral. Lineage: Bacteria; Pseudomonadati; Pseudomonadota; Alphaproteobacteria; Acetobacterales; Acidocellaceae.